This is a non-coding RNA of Saimiri boliviensis boliviensis (Bolivian squirrel monkey), 899 nucleotides long. NCBI's taxonomy places the organism in Eukaryota, Metazoa, Chordata, Mammalia, Primates, Cebidae. The record is from RefSeq and is a predicted model, not a curated record.
UCAGGUAGUAUCUUUAUAGCAGUGUGAGAACAGACUAAUACAAUGUGCAGGGCUGAAGCAGCUCAAUAAAUAGUUGAUGGAUGGACGGAUGGAUGGAUGGAUGAAUGAAUGAAUGAAUUCACUAAUUACUGAUUCACUUGUUGAGUGUGGUAGAGCAUCAGAUCACAGACCUUAGAUCCUGGCUUCCAAGGCUUGAAUCUGUGAUGGGCUGGCUCCAUAAUUUUAAGUGAUUUAUGUAAUGGUCCCAUACCUCAGUUUCCUCAUCUGUAAAAUAAAGGCCAAUGAUUUCUGUUCUUAUCAGUACGGCCAGUUAAGAACCUAUACAAACCCUCCCACUAACAGCGGCUAGAAAUUCUGGAUAGAAUAAAAAAUGCCUGUCUUGUUCAUUAUUGUCUUGAGCUGACUAGGAAGUGUGGAGUACUCAGGCCAGGAUGGAGAAGAGAUGGGACCCAUAGAGGAAGGUGGAUACUGAAGCUGGCUUUGCUGGGACAUAUGGAAAGAAGUGGCCACCGCUCCAUCUCUGAAACAAAAAGCGGAACUUAUUGUUUGUUAAGCAAGGGAGAUCUAAACCUGCAAACCUGAGCCUCGUUUUUUGACUACCUUUGUGGCUAGAGGUCAGAAGACAAAGCACAGAGCCUGACCAUGCAGGAGAGUCUAGCAGAAGACCCUUCCUUCAAUGUGGGACACCAUGAGCUAUACCUCACUGUCAUGGAAAACAAAAAGAUCGAUUUCCCCAUUGGAUACUACAUCAACACUGCCUGUAGCGAACUUUGGUGCCAAGUGGAAGAGGAAAAGCAUUCUCUAAGAAUUAAUAGCUAUAACCUGACCUUCAUGUGUGUAUGUAGCCUGAAUCCAUAUUUCCUCAAUUAUCCAAAAUAAAGGAUUUUAGUUUAAAGGAG